AGAGUUUGAUCCUGGCUCAGGAUGAACGCUAGCGGCAGGCCUAACACAUGCAAGUCGAACGGUAACAGCACUUCGGUGGCUGACGAGUGGCGCACGGGUGCGUAACGCGUAUACAAUCUACCUUUUACAGGGGGAUAGCCCAGAGAAAUUUGGAUUAAUACCCCAUGGCAUAUAUUUAUGGCAUCAUAUAUAUAUUAAAGAUUCAUCGGUAAGAGAUGAGUAUGCGUUCUAUUAGCUAGUUGGUGCGGUAACGGCGCACCAAGGCUACGAUAGAUAGGGGCCCUGAGAGGGGGAUCCCCCACACUGGUACUGAGACACGGACCAGACUCCUACGGGAGGCAGCAGUAAGGGAUAUUGCGCAAUGGGCGAAAGCCUGACGCAGCAACGCCGCGUGCGGGAUGACGGCCUUCGGGUUGUAAACCGCUUUUCAGGGUGAAGAGGAAGGACGGUAGCCCUGGAAUAAGUCUCGGCUAACUACGUGCCAGCAGCCGCAGUAAAACGUAGGAGGCGAGCGUUAUCCGGAUUUACUGGGUGUAAAGCGCGUGCAGGCGGUCGCGUAAGUCGUGUGUGAAAGCGCUCAGGCUCAACCGGGCGAGGACAUGCGAAACUGCGUGACUGGAGGUAGGUAGAGGUCUGUGGAAUUCCGGGUGUAGUGGUGAAACGCGUAGAGAUCCGGAGGAACACCAGUGGCGAAGGCGACAGACUGGACCUGACCUGACGCUAAGACGCGAAAGCAUGGGGAGCGAACGGGAUUAGAAACCCCGGUAGUCCAUGCCGUAAACGAUGUGUACUAAGUGUUGCGGUGUAGAAACUGCAGUGCUGAAGCCAACGUGAUAAGUACACCACCUGGGGAGUACGGUCGCAAGAUUAAAACUCAAAGGAAUUGACGG
RNAcentral lists this ribosomal RNA (890 nucleotides) under uncultured bacterium. RNAcentral's name for it is "bacterial SSU rRNA". It matches the Rfam family "Bacterial small subunit ribosomal RNA", at positions 8 to 916 of the family's 1533-position model. The record is from RNAcentral.